CAAGACAGACUGUAUAUUCAGAGAAACUGGAAUAUUAUUUCUUUCAACAAUUUAUAUACCGCUUGGAGGCAGUAAGCUUCUGAGUACCAAUAUGACUCUGGAACUUGAAAAAGACACUUCUUUGUUAGAUGUAAGCUAUGGGGAAGAUGGGACACGGGUGGCGCUGUGGGUUAAACCACAGAGCCUAGGGCUUGCCGAUCAGAAGGUUGGCGGUUCGAAUCCCCAUGACGGGGUGAGCUCCCGUUGCUCGGUCCCUGCUCCUCCCAACCUAGCAGUUCAAAGCACGUCAAAGUGCAAGUAGAUAAAUAGGUACCGCUGCAGCAGAAAGGUAAACAGCGUUUCCGUGCGCUGCUCUGGUUCGCCAGAAGCGGCUUAGUCAUGCUGGCCACAUGACCCGGAAGCUGUACGCCGGCUCCCUCGGCCAAUAAAGCGGGAUGAGAACUGCAACCCCAGAGUCGGCCACGACUGGACCUAAUGGUCAGGGGUCCCUUUUUAUGGAGAAGAUUGGAUACAAAGUGUGGAAGUAAACAUUCCAAACUGCCAAUCCCAAAGGAAUUAACUAGCAAGAUUUUUAAAAAACGAAUGGACAAACAAAUACAUUUCGUUGUUUCCUGCAGGUUUGAAAACAACUUUGAAUUACAGCAAAUUUAUUCAGUAGUACUGAUGGAUCACACCAAAGGUCCCAUCUAGUCCAGCAUCCUUUUUCUAAAAAUGAAAAAGCCUUUUUGGGGGAAAUAAUAUGCUUUAAAUGUAUGGUGUGUAUGAAGCCUAAAAGAAUAAAUUGGGUUGGCUGACUGAAUACAGGAAUACACUGAGGAAAGAAAUGCAAGUACAUCGAUUUGAUUUUUUUUAAUGUAACUUUUGUGUAAGAUGCCUAAAUCCAGUACAAGCUCAUCCAUAGUUUAAUCAUCAGUUAGUCCUUGUUCAUCUAAAAUUCAUUAGGAACCAUAAGCAAGUAUGGACUUUGGCGCUUAUUUGUUUAUUAAAAUUUAAUUUCCCUAAUUGCUUCUGGAAGACAUGCAAUUCAUUAUAAUCGUUGAUUAGCCUGAUCGCUUGCUCUGAUUUUCAUGAGACAAUCCUACACAUUUAUAAAGGCAGGGUGCUUUAUAUAACAUCCCCUGCAAUUAGAUUUGGGUUUAUAUUUCCAGCAGCGCUUCUUGCUUCCAAUGUAAUAUUUUAAUGCCAAAUUGGAUGCACAGUAAAAUACCUCCCUUAUAAAAGAAAGCAUAAUAUGAUGUGUGGGACAACCACCGCCAUCUGUCAACAUUUUGUCUUGGACUUUGACAUUAGCAUAGCCUCAGUCUAUCCCACAUUUUGUUUAUUAUAGAUACUCUGUUCUUCUUCCAAGGAACUCAUAAAAUUCCUACAUAUGAAGCAUCUCAUCCAGGCCAGUUACCCAUAAAGCUUACACAAGAGUUCUUAGGAACCUUCUCAUCAACCUGCCUAAUUUCAUCAGUAGAAUGGUUUCACCGUGUUUGGAGCUCAAUACACUUGGUACACGCGUGUUUACUUCCCUAAGAAACCUAAAAUAGUAUGCACUCCGACUGAACUCUAUCCAAACUUGCCACCUACUCUAACCAAAGAAACACAUAUGCAGAGCAGUAGUCUUGGUUUGUCAUCACAGUGGACUGAUGUCUGUCGCCAUGGACUGGCUGGGUGCAGAGGAGUGGUGAGGCACCAGCUGGGGAAACCCCAAGGGAACCCUUGGGGGAAGAAGGCUCAGAGCCAGGGGAUUGGUGGUGGGACGAUGCUAAGUGGUCAGAGGGAGAAGAGGGAGCAGACUGGGAGGAGGAAGCUGAAAAGGACAUAGGGUCUAAUGAGCAGGAAGAGGCUGUGGCAGAGGACAGUUCAGAUCAGGAGGUGGAAGCAGAGGCUGGAGAGGAGUGGGGGCAGGCUUCUGAAGAAUCCAGGGGGUCUCCCUCUCCUGCUAUGACCAGCUUUUCUCCCCACAGCCUCCCAGAACACCGAGAGGAAUGAAGAGGGUGGAGGAAAGAGAGAUAAAACCAAGGUGCUUCAAGUUGCUGGGGAAGGACCCAGGGGAGGAGUCCUAGUGGCGGACAGGUGGAGACCUUCAGUCCUCGCAACUGCCUCACUUGGGCAAGACCCACUGGGAAGAAUUGCUGUGAUCUCUAGGCUUGCACUGUUUUGGUUCCUUUGAAAAAAGAGUUAACUACACUGGAUGUUUUAUUGCUGACCUGCACCUGAGGAUGAAGCUACACUCGGGGUGGGACGGAACCACUAUAAAUAAAUCAGAAAUUAAUUUAAGGAUGAAAAAAAUGCAUUCUGGCCUUACAGUCCAUUUUC
RNAcentral lists this long non-coding RNA (2304 nucleotides) under Podarcis lilfordi (Lilford's wall lizard). The record is from RNAcentral. Lineage: Eukaryota; Metazoa; Chordata; Lepidosauria; Squamata; Lacertidae.